Molecule: ribosomal RNA, 301 nt
Filed under: uncultured bacterium
Lineage: Bacteria
Description: partial 16S ribosomal RNA
Rfam family: Bacterial small subunit ribosomal RNA
Source: RNAcentral
CAGUAGCCGCGGGAAUACAGAGGAUGCAAGCGUUAUCCGGAAUUAUUGGGCGUAAAGCGCGCGCAGGCGGAUCGGUCAGUCUGUCUUAAAAGUUCGGGGCUUAACCCCGUGAUGGGAUGGAAACUGCCAAUCUAGAGUAUCGGAGAGGAAAGUGGAAUUCCUAGUGUAGCGGUGAAAUGCGUAGAUAUUAGGAAGAACACCAGUGGCGAAGGCGACUUUCUGGACGAAAACUGACGCUGAGGCGCGAAAGCCAGGGGAGCGAACGGGAUUAGAUACCCCCGUAGUCCCUGUCUCUUAUACA